This is a long non-coding RNA of Parasteatoda tepidariorum (common house spider), 274 nucleotides long. NCBI's taxonomy places the organism in Eukaryota, Metazoa, Arthropoda, Arachnida, Araneae, Theridiidae. The record is from RefSeq and is a predicted model, not a curated record.
UUUUGAAAAUGAUACUUGUAUUAUUUAUUUUUUUUUUAAUCUGAAGACAUUUUUAUUUCAGAUCAAGAUAUAAAUGAUAAGAUAGAUUCAUGCACCAUAUUGACACCAGAAGAGACUGGAAAGAACGCAAUGAAGCAUUUCGCAGAUUUUUUCUCGAUGGACUGGUCCUGGCCUGACCAUGACACAUUAUUUGAGGAUUGGUGCGCCAUGGAUGAAGAAAAACAGGAUGAAGUAUUUAUAGAAGCUGUUCAGUAUGCAACAGAAGUUGCUGCAG